UCUUCCUGGGCCGGGUGAACAUCGCCGUGAAGCUCAGUGGCUCUGUGCUUAACGACUUCAUUUUUUCACCGACACCCUUCUAAUAAAAGCUGUUUGAAGAAGGGGGGAUUUGAAGGCUUCUGUGGUUGGGGGCAGGUUGUCAUCUAAGUCGGCUUCCCUUCUGGACAAAGCGCCCAUUGUCUGCGGGAGCUGGCAUGACAGAGGAACCACAAGAGGGCGCGCCAAGCCUCGGAAUAAAUAGCUCGUCUGUCCUAGCCGCUAAGGCGGUGGAACUGCCAGCCCAUGUUGGGAGGACUCCUAAUCCACCAGACACACGAAUGUUCUAGAAGCCCUUCAGGGACGUUCUCAUGGUUGGACAAAGAAGAGCUCUGCAGACAGGGUCUCUUACCUGGAGUAUACAGACUGACUUGACCAGCUGGCCAAGAAGGUUCCAGAGGCUCUCUUGUCUUCAAGCCCUAGCCUUCUGGCAGACACUCCUCCACACCCAGCUUGUUACGGGAGUUCUAGGGAUGCAAACCGCGGCCCUUAUGCCUGUUACAGCAUUUUCCUGCUGUGUCUCCAGCCCUGAAGAACGGCACCUCUUCAGCUCUGAUAUGUCUGUAUUUGCUGUACCAUAAAAUUAACACAGGGAAGUUGAAAUAUUUUACAUUACGAAUGAAAUUUUCCAUUAAAAUAUUGUCAGACCUGGG
Peromyscus maniculatus bairdii (prairie deer mouse) is the source of this 689-nucleotide non-coding RNA. NCBI's taxonomy places the organism in Eukaryota, Metazoa, Chordata, Mammalia, Rodentia, Cricetidae. The record is from RefSeq and is a predicted model, not a curated record.